GACACGACUCUCGGCAAUGGAUAUCUCGGCUCUCGCAUCGAUGAAGAGCGCAGCGAAAUGCGAUACGUGGUGCGAAUUGCAGAAUCCCGCGAACCAUCGAGUCUUUGAACGCAAGUUGCGCCCGAGGCCAACCGGCCAAGGGCACGCCUGCCUGGGUGUCAAGC
Molecule: ribosomal RNA, 164 nt
Filed under: Dendrobium lituiflorum
Lineage: Eukaryota; Viridiplantae; Streptophyta; Magnoliopsida; Asparagales; Orchidaceae
Description: 5.8S ribosomal RNA
Rfam family: 5.8S ribosomal RNA
About the family: 5.8S ribosomal RNA (5.8S rRNA) is a component of the large subunit of the eukaryotic ribosome.
Source: RNAcentral